This 777-nucleotide long non-coding RNA is filed under the name Homo sapiens (human). RNAcentral describes it as "HSALNT0017863". Lineage: Eukaryota; Metazoa; Chordata; Mammalia; Primates; Hominidae. The record is from RNAcentral.
UCUGGGCGCAGCAACUGCUCCUCUGUCUCAUCAGGCAGUGUCCCCUGUGUUCCUGACCUCCUGAGGAGCUGCUGGAUGGCUUAGCCCCUUGACAGCUGGAGGGCUGACCAUGAGCUAGGCACCACCAAUCAAAUGCACAUAAUCAAGACUUUAAAUUGGAAACUAGUGAUACAUCAAAGCAGAAGUCACUCGCAAUGGGAACAACUCCAUCCAGCUUGCUGAUGCAUCAGUGGCAGCAGAUUCAAGGGUGGUUUCCAGCAUCUACUGUCAGUGUGGCAUGAGGACAAGCUUCAGUAUCUGCACCCAGCAGGAGCAGCACUGGAUUUUCACCAGGCCAGUUCUCCAGCACAAUUUGCAUAUUGUUCCUGGCUUCGUAGCCCCUGAGCCUGGCCCCUGGACCUUUCUGGAAAUUCUGUGAGCCAGGGCCAGCUUCAUAGCUAUGCAACCUGUGCCAUCACACAGGACCCCAGGUUCAGCACGGCCCUGUGCUUGGUUUAAUGCUCUGCUGUUGCCAUCUUGCAAUUCUUACAGUUCUUUUAACAAGAGGCCUCACCUUUCCAUUUUGCUUGGAUCUUGAAAAUUAUGUAACCAAUCCUGCUACGAGCUAGCUAAUAUGCUUUAGGUCAGGGAGUUCUUAACCUCUUAUGCUCAUGAGCCCUUGGUAGUCUGGUGAAACCUAUAAAGCUUAGGAGGAAUGUUUUUAAAUGAAAUGCACAAAAUGAAAUACAUAGGAAACCAAUUAUAUUAAAAUAUAGUUUAAAAUUUAAAAAAACAAAU